This 440-nucleotide ribosomal RNA is filed under the name uncultured bacterium. Its description in RNAcentral is "partial 16S ribosomal RNA". It matches the Rfam family "Bacterial small subunit ribosomal RNA", at positions 338 to 795 of the family's 1533-position model. The record is from RNAcentral.
CCUACGUGAGGCAGCAGUGGGGGCUAUUGCACAAUGGGUGGAACCCUGAUGCAGCGACGCCGCGUUGGUGAAGAAGCGCCUCUGCACGUACAGCCCUGUCAGCAGGGAAGACAAUGACGGUACCUGCAGAAGAAGCCCCGGCUAACUACGUGCCAGCAUCCUCGUUAAUACGUAGGGGGCACGCGUUAUCCGGAUUUACUGGGUGUAAAGGGGGCGCAGACGGCGAUGCAAGCCAGGAGUGAAAGCCCGGGGCCCAACCCCGGGACUGCUCUUGGAACUGCGUGGCUGGAGUGCAGGAGGGGCAGGCGGAAUUCCUGGUGUAGCGGUGAAAUGCGUAGAUAUCAGGAGGAACACCGGGGGCGAAGGCGGCCUGCUGGACUGCAACUGACGUUGAGGCCCGAAAGCGUGGGGAGCAAACAGGAUUAGAUACCCGUGUAGUC